UCUAGAGAACGCGGAGCAGAGGGCGGGGAGACGGGAAGACAAACAGCACCAAGGCAGGGAACAUUUGGAUACGACGACGCUGUCCAUGAAAACCGGAUUAGAUUUGGUUUGGGGCUUUUGACUUUGUUCUGGAACUAUCAAGAAAUCAGUCCUGGCCUAAGCAGCAGGAUCAGAUGACACUGCAGGCGAACUCAUUGCAAAGGAAACUCCCUUUUCCUGCACUGCUGGACCGGCACAAAAAGUCAAAUUUUGCCCUCUUGUAGCCAAAAAUACCCCCCCAAAAAACCCCUCAAAGCAGGUUCUGUUUUUCUUGAUUUCCCUCUGAAGAAGAGCCAAAGCAAAGUGUUUCAUGGUCGGUGGAGGUGCAGACGGAUCGGGGCGUCAGACGGGCAGUGACGGCGUUUUGAUUGGGAAAUGAAAAUAAAUCAGGGAUGCAAAUGUGAGAGCAAGCUGAUCAGUUCAUGAUUGAUCCCCAAACCUACUGAACCUCUGCUGUAAUCGCUAACGAAUCAAGAAGAAUGCAAAAGAAAAGUCGCAAAGAAAAAUUUAAAUACUUGUCGGAACGUUUUAAAAAAUGCACAAAACGAUGCAGAAAUGUGGAUUUUUUUCUUCUUUUUUUUUUUUUGCAGCAGCAGCUGCGUCGUUCCCCUCAGCUUCCUUCCCUUCUUUCUUUCUCACUUUAUCUCAUUUAUUCCUUCCCAGGUUCUCCGUGUCCACAGCAACAGCAGCACUCGUCCUGCAGUCCUCCCACCAACACGGACGUCUUAGCCAGACCACAGAGCAACAAAUCAUUUCGUUUUUUCCGUUUAUUCCUGCUGCUUGAACAGCAUUCGGUGAAAUUCAGAUUUUCACUCUCUGCAGGAAGCCGAGUUAAAGUAGGAAACCUGUUGCUACUGGCAACUGGACACCAUGUUUACCCUCCAGUUUUGAAAACUCUCCAUUUUAAAAAGAUUCUCACCAUUAUUCGUAGUUUCCAUCUUGUUUGUUUCACCCGCCUCGUACGGAAACUGUUCCCUGACAUGAUGCAAACGUUUGCUCAAAUCUCCAGCGCCCCGUUCUCUACAUGCAGGUGUCCUCCUCUGUAAAUGUGUCUCUAAUUAAAGCAGACUCGGCUUUACGAAACACUGAGCUGAGAUCAGUUCUGCGGGACAAGAAACCCUAAAAAAAAAGAACUUUUUCUUCCCAAAGCAGAACUGAAACCAUGCUUUUGUUCCCACUCCCAACAAAACAUAUUAAGAAUGGAAAGGGUUAAUCUGUGUCUUUGCUGACUGUACGUUAAAAUAGACUUUUUACAUUUAUACACACAUAUGAGGAAGUAAGAAAAGCUUGGCACGCUGCACUAAUGAGAAGCACUAACAUCAUUUAGCUCAUGCACUGCAAAAAGAAAAAAUCUUACCAAGUAUUUGUUGUCUAGUUUCUAGUGAAAAUAUCUUACUACUAAACCUUAUAGCAAGAAAUAGGAGCUUUUGUAAAAGUAAAUAGUUAUUCCACUUUUAAAAUGUCUUCUUAUAAGUGAAAUAUUCUUUUAUAUACAUAAAAGAAUUUUUCUUGCUGAAAAAGUUUGUUUUAUUUCAAGUGUACCAAGACAUUUGUGCUAGAAACUAAACCAAAAUUCUUGGUAAUAUUUAGUGUUUUUGCAGCCAGGUAUCUGUGCCUGGAUACUUGAUAAGAAGAACGUCACGCCCGGCCAAAACAAAAGGUCGGCUGCAGAUUCAUCUUCCACAUCAUGUAACGUCUAACAUCAGCUCAGAGCGGAACGAAAAGAAAAAGUGACGAAGGAGAAGAUCGGACAGACCCACUUGGAGGAAAACAUCUCCUUUAAAAGAAGUUAAUCGCCAAAAGAGAUGAGGAAAAUGCAGAAUUUGGAGUGAGCAAUACUGACAGGAAGCAUUUUGAGUAUUAUUUCUGUCUCGUCUUGUUUGUCUUUAAUGCUUACACGAUUAAAAGCGUCUGAGCACAGUCGGAGCAAACCGAAAACAAGCGUGUUUGUGGUUCUUCACUAAUGUUCGUGCUGAAAGUCCGAUGUGAAACAGUUUUGUUUUCUUUGCAGCCAUGCUGUGCUUUGUGUUGUGUGCUGUGGCUCCAUGUAUCUCACUUUAAUGCAAAAAAUGACCUUAAAAAACAAUAAAAAUGGCUUGAAUGUGUGUCUA
Long non-coding RNA from Poeciliopsis prolifica (blackstripe livebearer), 2150 nucleotides. RefSeq lists it as uncharacterized. The transcript is spliced from 2 exons. NCBI's taxonomy places the organism in Eukaryota, Metazoa, Chordata, Actinopteri, Cyprinodontiformes, Poeciliidae. The record is from RefSeq and is a predicted model, not a curated record.